ACCCUCUCAGGAUCACAACUGGAGAGUUUCCAGUACUCUACCAGUCUUGGCUAUGGGAGGGAGAGUCAAGCAGAGGUAUAGCCAUUCUAUUCCUAGCUUGAAUAGUGGCUAGAGAGUGGAAGACAAUGAGCUACAAGU
Small nucleolar RNA from Tachyglossus aculeatus (Australian echidna), 138 nucleotides. NCBI's taxonomy places the organism in Eukaryota, Metazoa, Chordata, Mammalia, Monotremata, Tachyglossidae. The record is from RefSeq and is a predicted model, not a curated record.